Molecule: ribosomal RNA, 2844 nt
Filed under: Shigella flexneri
Lineage: Bacteria; Pseudomonadati; Pseudomonadota; Gammaproteobacteria; Enterobacterales; Enterobacteriaceae
Description: partial 23S ribosomal RNA
Rfam family: Bacterial large subunit ribosomal RNA
Source: RNAcentral
GGGUUGUGAGGUUAAGCGACUAAGCGUACACGGUGGAUGCCCUGGCAGUCAGAGGCGAUGAAGGACGUGCUAAUCUGCGAUAAGCGUCGGUAAGGUGAUAUGAACCGUUAUAACCGGCGAUUUCCGAAUGGGGAAACCCAGUGUGAUUCGUCACACUAUCAUUAACUGAAUCCAUAGGUUAAUGAGGCGAACCGGGGGAACUGAAACAUCUAAGUACCCCGAGGAAAAGAAAUCAACCGAGAUUCCCCCAGUAGCGGCGAGCGAACGGGGAGCAGCCCAGAGCCUGAAUCAGUGUGUGUGUUAGUGGAAGCGUCUGGAAAGGCGUGCGAUACAGGGUGACAGCCCCGUACACAAAAAUGCACAUACUGUGAGCUCGAUGAGUAGGGCGGGACACGUGGUAUCCUGUCUGAAUAUGGGGGGACCAUCCUCCAAGGCUAAAUACUCCUGACUGACCGAUAGUGAACCAGUACCGUGAGGGAAAGGCGAAAAGAACCCCGGCGAGGGGAGUGAAAAAGAACCUGAAACCGUGUACGUACAAGCAGUGGGAGCACGCUUAGGCGUGUGACUGCGUACCUUUUGUAUAAUGGGUCAGCGACUUAUAUUCUGUAGCAAGGUUAACCGAAUAGGGGAGCCGAAGGGAAACCGAGUCUUAACUGGGCGUUAAGUUGCAGGGUAUAGACCCGAAACCCGGUGAUCUAGCCAUGGGCAGGUUGAAGGUUGGGUAACACUAACUGGAGGACCGAACCGACUAAUGUUGAAAAAUUAGCGGAUGACUUGUGGCUGGGGGUGAAAGGCCAAUCAAACCGGGAGAUAGCUGGUUCUCCCCGAAAGCUAUUUAGGUAGCGCCUCGUGAAUUCAUCUCCGGGGGUAGAGCACUGUUUCGGCAAGGGGGUCAUCCCGACUUACCAACCCGAUGCAAACUGCGAAUACCGGAGAAUGUUAUCACGGGAGACACACGGCGGGUGCUAACGUCCGUCGUGAAGAGGGAAACAACCCAGACCGCCAGCUAAGGUCCCAAAGUCAUGGUUAAGUGGGAAACGAUGUGGGAAGGCCCAGACAGCCAGGAUGUUGGCUUAGAAGCAGCCAUCAUUUAAAGAAAGCGUAAUAGCUCACUGGUCGAGUCGGCCUGCGCGGAAGAUGUAACGGGGCUAAACCAUGCACCGAAGCUGCGGCAGCGACGCUUAUGCGUUGUUGGGUAGGGGAGCGUUCUGUAAGCCUGUGAAGGUGUGCUGUGAGGUAUGCUGGAGGUAUCAGAAGUGCGAAUGCUGACAUAAGUAACGAUAAAGCGGGUGAAAAGCCCGCUCGCCGGAAGACCAAGGGUUCCUGUCCAACGUUAAUCGGGGCAGGGUGAGUCGACCCCUAAGGCGAGGCCGAAAGGCGUAGUCGAUGGGAAACAGGUUAAUAUUCCUGUACUUGGUGUUACUGCGAAGGGGGGACGGAGAAGGCUAUGUUGGCCGGGCGACGGUUGUCCCGGUUUAAGCGUGUAGGCUGGUUUUCCAGGCAAAUCCGGAAAAUCAAGGCCGAGGCGUGAUGACGAGGCACUACGGUGCUGAAGCAACAAAUGCCCUGCUUCCAGGAAAAGCCUCUAAGCAUCAGGUAACAUCAAAUCGUACCCCAAACCGACACAGGUGGUCAGGUAGAGAAUACCAAGGCGCUUGAGAGAACUCGGGUGAAGGAACUAGGCAAAAUGGUGCCGUAACUUCGGGAGAAGGCACGCUGAUACGUAGGUGAAGCGACUUGCUCGUGGAGCUGAAAUCAGUCGAAGAUACCAGCUGGCUGCAACUGUUUAUUAAAAACACAGCACUGUGCAAACACGAAAGUGGACGUAUACGGUGUGACGCCUGCCCGGUGCCGGAAGGUUAAUUGAUGGGGUUAGCGCAAGCGAAGCUCUUGAUCGAAGCCCCGGUAAACGGCGGCCGUAACUAUAACGGUCCUAAGGUAGCGAAAUUCCUUGUCGGGUAAGUUCCGACCUGCACGAAUGGCGUAAUGAUGGCCAGGCUGUCUCCACCCGAGACUCAGUGAAAUUGAACUCGCUGUGAAGAUGCAGUGUACCCGCGGCAAGACGGAAAGACCCCGUGAACCUUUACUAUAGCUUGACACUGAACAUUGAGCCUUGAUGUGUAGGAUAGGUGGGAGGCUUUGAAGUGUGGACGCCAGUCUGCAUGGAGCCGACCUUGAAAUACCACCCUUUAAUGUUUGAUGUUCUAACGUGGACCCGUGAUCCGGGUUGCGGACAGUGUCUGGUGGGUAGUUUGACUGGGGCGGUCUCCUCCUAAAGAGUAACGGAGGAGCACGAAGGUUGGCUAAUCCUGGUCGGACAUCAGGAGGUUAGUGCAAUGGCAUAAGCCAGCUUGACUGCGAGCGUGACGGCGCGAGCAGGUGCGAAAGCAGGUCAUAGUGAUCCGGUGGUUCUGAAUGGAAGGGCCAUCGCUCAACGGAUAAAAGGUACUCCGGGGAUAACAGGCUGAUACCGCCCAAGAGUUCAUAUCGACGGCGGUGUUUGGCACCUCGAUGUCGGCUCAUCACAUCCUGGGGCUGAAGUAGGUCCCAAGGGUAUGGCUGUUCGCCAUUUAAAGUGGUACGCGAGCUGGGUUUAGAACGUCGUGAGACAGUUCGGUCCCUAUCUGCCGUGGGCGCUGGAGAACUGAGGGGGGCUGCUCCUAGUACGAGAGGACCGGAGUGGACGCAUCACUGGUGUUCGGGUUGUCAUGCCAAUGGCACUGCCCGGUAGCUAAAUGCGGAAGAGAUAAGUGCUGAAAGCAUCUAAGCACGAAACUUGCCCCGAGAUGAGUUCUCCCUGACCCUUUAAGGGUCCUGAAGGAACGUUGAAGACGACGACGUUGA